ACUUGGGAUUUUAUGAUUUAUGGAAGAAAAAUUUCAUUAUUUUUCCCUCACAUCUGACACCAUUUAAUCGCAUUUGGCCUGCUGUGGUAGAGGAUUUGUGCCAAACAGUGACUAUUGCAAACACAGUUGGAAGUGCGGUGAAAUAUUAGUUUCUUGAAACACAUCCUUUGCUGAAGGUGGUGAGCAAACGGCACUGUAUAAAUUCCUGAUCACGCAGUCCAAACCCAUCUCCCCCAACACCAAUACAGACCACAUGCCUGGGCGUUGACUUUUGAUGACAACGCUGAGAAAUACCCAUAGACCCAUCUCUCGCCCCUUCUCCUUCCUGCUCCCCCUUUUCUCCACUGCCUGAUCGCCUUGAUGUGGGACAGAAGGCCGCAAAUUAAAUGCUGCAGACGGGGACAAGGGGACAAACCCACGGCGGACUGCAGAUAUUGGGGCUGUGCCACUGCACGGCCUCACUAGAGGGCAGCCGACAAAACCUCUGGCAACGAAGGCGCGGGAGCGGCACGGCUCCUGGUUUUGUCUGGAGCGUGGUGGGCGCACAGUUUGGCAGGGAUAUUGCUGCUUUCCUACUCUUGCUUCUUUUCCUUCACCGCCUAAAGAAAACAUCAUAAUUACAACAAAAUAUGUGUAUCCCACCAGAGGAAGUGCAGAAACCACCUAUGAAGAAACACCUGAGACACGGAUAGAAGAUUUUGAAAGAAGAGAAAGGAAUAAUCUUGAAAGCUCUGCCAUGGGAUCUCCUGUAUUGCUGAACAAAAGGCUCAGAAUCAUACUCUGCGGAAGACCAGCAAAACUGCCUAUCCUUCACCAAGAUGUAUUGUUUUGGCACUAGCUGUCAGGACAGUUGUCUUGAAUUUAGCUACUGCAUUUAAAAAGUCUGCAUAACACCACAUACAAACACAGUUUAUAAAUAGACAUAUUUGGAGAAGUGUCUUUAUUCCUCAUUUUUUCAGGGCAUAUGGACUGGUGUGAUGAUAAACUCAGCACAUGCACAUUCAGGAUCUCUGUUUAGGCCAAAUGUUUGCCUGAUUCAGCAUAGCAUGCUUUAAUAAUGUAAUUCAAUUCUUCCUCAUUUUUAAUGCUAUUUCAGCCCGUUAAUAUAAUUUGGUGAGCUAUUAUAGUUGUUACAGCUGCUAGUUUUGCCCUUAAUACUGGUUUCACUUAUGACCUCAGUCAGAACUAGAUUUAAAGUUUGAGAUGAUGUAAGUGAAUAAGGAUUAUUAGAUUUAUUCAUAUGGCAAUUUAAAUAAGAAACUGCCUGGCUUAGAAUAAAUGGUAAAUGAAAAAUGCA
RNAcentral lists this long non-coding RNA (1297 nucleotides) under Phasianus colchicus (ring-necked pheasant). RNAcentral describes it as "lncRNA (ENSPCLG00000004344.1)". The record is from RNAcentral. Lineage: Eukaryota; Metazoa; Chordata; Aves; Galliformes; Phasianidae.